UUGAUCCUGGCUCAGGAUGAACGCUGGCGGUAUGCUUAACACAUGCAAGUCGAACGGUCUCUUCGGAGAUAGUGGCGGACGGGUGAGUAACGCGUGAGAAUCUAGCUUCAGGUCGGGGACAACAGUUGGAAACGGCUGCUAAUACCGGAUGUGCCGAAAGGUGAAAGAUUUAUUGCCUGAAGAUGAGCUCGCGUCUGAUUAGCUAGUAGGUGUGGURAGAGCGCACCUAGGCGACGAUCAGUAGCUGGUCUGAGAGGACGAUCAGCCACACUGGGACUGAGACACGGCCCAGACUCCUACGGGAGGCAGCAGUGGGGAAUUUUCCGCAAUGGGCGAAAGCCUGACGGAGCAAUACCGCGUGAGGGAGGAAGGCUCUUGGGUUGUAAACCUCUUUUCUCAAGGAAGAAUACAAUGACGGUACUUGAGGAAUAAGCAUCGGCUAACUCCGUGCCAGCAGCCGCGGUAAUACGGAGGAUGCAAGCGUUAUCCGGAAUGAUUGGGCGUAAAGCGUCCGCAGGUGGCAAUGAAAGUCUGCUGUUAAAGAGUGAGGCUCAACCUCAUAAAAGCGGUGGAAACUACAUAGCUAGAGUACGUUCGGGGCAGAGGGAAUUCCUGGUGUAGCGGUGAAAUGCGUAGAGAUCAGGAAGAACACCGGUGGCGAAAGCGCUCUGCUAGGCCUGUACUGACACUGAGGGACGAAAGCUAGGGGAGCGAAUGGGAUUAGAUACCCCAGUAGUCCUAGCCGUAAACGAUGGAUACUAGGCGUGGCUUGUAUCGACCCGAGCCGUGCCGGAGCUAACGCGUUAAGUAUCCCGCCUGGGGAGUACGCACGCAAGUGUGAAACUCAAAGGAAUUGACGGGGGCCCGCACAAGCGGUGGAGUAUGUGGUUUAAUUCGAUGCAACGCGAAGAACCUUACCAAGACUUGACAUGUCGCGAAUCCUCUUGAAAGGGAGGAGUGCCUUAGGGAGCGCGAACACAGGUGGUGCAUGGCUGUCGUCAGCUCGUGUCGUGAGAUGUUGGGUUAAGUCCCGCAACGAGCGCAACCCUCGUUUUUAGUUGCCAGCAUUAAGUUGGGCACUCUAGAGAGACUGCCGGUGACAAACCGGAGGAAGGGUGGGGAUGACGUCAAGUCAGCAUGCCCCUUACGUCUUGGGCUACACACGUACUACAAUGCUACGGACAAAGGGCAGCAAGCUAGUGAUAGCAAGCAAAUCUCAUAAACCGUAGCUCAGUUCAGAUCGAAGGCUGCAACUCGCCUUCGUGAAGUCGGAAUCGCUAGUAAUUGCAGGUCAGCAUACUGCGGUGAAUUCGUUCCCGGGCCUUGUACACACCGCCCGUCACACCAUGGAAGCUGGCAACGCCCGAAGUCAUUACUCCAACCAUUCGUGGAGGAGGAUGCCUAAGGCAGUGCUGGUGACUGGGGUGAAGUCGUAACAAGGUAGCCGUACCGGAAGGUGUGGCUGGAUCACCUCCUUU
This 1478-nucleotide ribosomal RNA is filed under the name Camptylonemopsis sp. HA4241-MV5. Its description in RNAcentral is "16S ribosomal RNA". It matches the Rfam family "Bacterial small subunit ribosomal RNA". The record is from RNAcentral. Lineage: Bacteria; Bacillati; Cyanobacteriota; Cyanophyceae; Nostocales; Nostocaceae.